RNAcentral lists this ribosomal RNA (373 nucleotides) under uncultured organism. Its description in RNAcentral is "partial 16S ribosomal RNA". It matches the Rfam family "Bacterial small subunit ribosomal RNA", at positions 527 to 896 of the family's 1533-position model. The record is from RNAcentral.
GUAGGUGGCAAGCGUUGUCCGGAAUUAUUGGGGCGUAAAGCGCGCGCAGGCGGUUCUUUAAGUCUGAUGUGAAAGCCCACGGGCUCAACCGUGGAGGGUCAUUGGAAACUGGAGAACUUGAGUACAGAAGAGGAAAGCGGAAUUCCACGUGUAGCGGUGAAAUGCGUAGAGAUGUGGAGGAACACCAGUGGCGAAGGCGGCUUUCUGGUCUGUAGCUGACGCUGAGGCGCGAAAGCGUGGGGAGCAAACAGGAUUAGAUACCCUGGUAGUCCACGCCGUAAACGAUGAGUGCUAAGCGUUAGGGGGUUUCCGCCCCUUAGUGCUGCAGCUAACGCAUUAAGCACUCCGCCUGGGGAGUACGGCCGCAAGGCUG